UGGGGAAUAUUGCACAAUGGGCGCAAGCCUGAUGCAGCAACGCCGCGUGCGGGAUGACGGCCUUCGGGUUGUAAACCGCUUUCAGUUCCGACGAAGCGCAAGUGACGGUAGGAACAGAAGAAGGACCGGCCAACUACGUGCCAGCAGCCGCGGUGAUACGUAGGGUCCGAGCGUUGUCCGGAAUUAUUGGGCGUAAAGGGCUUGUAGGCGGUUUGUUGCGUCGGAAGUGAAAACUCAGGGCUUAACCCUGAGCCUGCUUCCGAUACGGGCAAACUAGAGGAAUGCAGGGGAGAAUGGAAUUCCUGGUGGAGCGGUGGAAUGCGCAGAUAUCAGGAGGAACACCGGUGGCGAAGGCGGUUCUCUGGGCAUUUCCUGACGCUGAGAAGCGAAAGCGUGGGGAGCAAACAGGCUUAGAUACCCUGGUAGUCCACGCCGUAGACGGUGGGCACUAGGUGUGGGGAACAUUCCACGUUCUCCGUGCCGAAGCUAACGCAUUAAGUG
This 501-nucleotide ribosomal RNA is filed under the name uncultured Actinomycetes bacterium. RNAcentral describes it as "bacterial SSU rRNA". It matches the Rfam family "Bacterial small subunit ribosomal RNA", at positions 355 to 866 of the family's 1533-position model. Lineage: Bacteria; Bacillati; Actinomycetota; Actinomycetes. The record is from RNAcentral.